This 468-nucleotide ribosomal RNA is filed under the name uncultured archaeon. RNAcentral's name for it is "bacterial SSU rRNA". It matches the Rfam family "Archaeal small subunit ribosomal RNA", at positions 1 to 471 of the family's 1478-position model. The record is from RNAcentral.
UUCCGGUUGAUCCUGCCGGUAGGCCAUUGCUAUCGGGGUCCGAUUUAGCCAUGCUAGUUGUGCGGGUUAGACCCGCAGCAAAUAGCUCCGUAACACGUGGCCAAACUACCCUACGGAGGAGAAUAACCUCGGGAAACUGAGGCUAACACUCCAUACGGUUCCGACGCUGGAAGGCCCGGAACCGGAAACGUUCCGACGCCGUAGGAUGUGGCUGCGGCCGAUUAGGUAGACGGUGGGGUAACGGCCCACCGUGCCGAUAAUCGGUACGGGUUGUGAGAGCAAGAGCCCGGAGACGGAAUCUGAGACAAGAUUCCGGGCCCUACGGGGCGCAGCAGGCGCGAAACCUUUACACUGCACGACAGUGCGAUAAGGGGACCCCGAGUGCGAGGGCAUACAGUCCUCGCUUUUCUGAACGGUAAGGACGUUCAGGAACAAGUGCUGGGCAAGACCGGUGCCAGCCGCCGCGGU